Long non-coding RNA from Oryza brachyantha (malo sina), 862 nucleotides. RefSeq lists it as uncharacterized. NCBI's taxonomy places the organism in Eukaryota, Viridiplantae, Streptophyta, Magnoliopsida, Poales, Poaceae. The transcript is spliced from 4 exons. The record is from RefSeq and is a predicted model, not a curated record.
UAUGUAUUUUAGUGCUAGAAUUGGUAUGCAAUUGACAAAAUAGCAGAAGGAAUUGUGAUGUAUUUUAAAUACCCAUGCAGGAACACUGCCAUUCGGUUAGUUAGGGAGGUAGAAGCAAUCAGAGGGAGUAUCUUUGCAUCUGCUUCUUGUGAACAGAUGAGCUAUACUUAUGAUGCACCGAAGUGUUAUGCACCAGGAAUGGUUGAAGUUCUCAUUGAUAGUGUGCAGAACUCAGCAUUUUUAGAAUGAGAGGUCAAGGAGCAGAAGAUAAAAGUCUGGACUAUCUGAAGUUUCUGGUGAUCCACAAAGUCUACUUAUGGAGGCACUUCAUUCGGCUGGAUAUUCUGGGGCGUUGGCAAAACCUUCACUGGCUUAGCUUUCGGGUGACUGAAUUAUUAUUCGCAUGGUCUGUCUAAUAUGAUAUCUUCUGAUGAGAGACCUUUUGCACUCGAUGGAAAAAGGAAGUCCAUUGCCAAAGUUUGGGGAAUGGGAUGUCAAUGAUCCUGCUUCAGCUGAGGGAUUUACUGUAAUGUUUAACAAAGCUAGAGAUGAGAAGAAGACCAGUGGCAAUUCACAGGGACAAGAUCUGCCCGCAAAAAGUGAACAGCCAUCUGGACAAGGCUUGUAUCUAGCAAAGCCAAACAGUUCUGAAGCAUGCUGGAAUGUAACUGGACUACAUACUCCAAACAGAAAAACACUACUUCACUUCAUCUGCCGAAAGAAAUUGAUCAUCCAGUUCACAUGACAUGAUGUAGGAAUAAAAUGUUUAUGCAUUUUGUUUAUUCUGUUAUAUUGUAAUACAAUUAUAAUAAAGUACCAUCUUUGGACAUGACAUAAGUAAUACACAAUUUUAUUUAAUAAA